CAACCAGGAACAGUCGGGGACGUGGGACGGCGGCCACCAGAAAAGGGUCCGUUGAAAAAGGCAAAAUGCUGUUGCGCAUUCCGUGCGAGCGUCGCCACCAUUGGCAGGACGGUCGACAGAUCAAGGCGUUCGGCUUGCAACCCAGGGCGCCGCCGCGGGUGCCAAGAUGCUAUCUUCGUGCGGCUUCGAAUUUCUCCUGGGAAUCGGCAUGCCUGCUCAAUUGCUUUGGGAUGUUUUCCCCGUAGUAUGCAUGGGAAUAAGACUGUGUUACGCGUGGCAUGAAGAAAAGAAAGCGGAGUGCAUGCGGACCAGCUUACCUUCUGACGUCAGAGUCGCCCUCGCCAUGAUGCGCUACGCCCGAAACAUCAUGCUUCGUGGAAGGACUGGGCUGAAGGAAUCUUUGCAGUCGGUUCGUCGACAGGGUGAUGAAGUGCAAUAAAACUGCUAUACUGGC
Long non-coding RNA from Rhipicephalus microplus (southern cattle tick), 454 nucleotides. The record is from RefSeq and is a predicted model, not a curated record. Lineage: Eukaryota; Metazoa; Arthropoda; Arachnida; Ixodida; Ixodidae.